Molecule: transfer RNA, 72 nt
Filed under: Caerostris darwini
Lineage: Eukaryota; Metazoa; Arthropoda; Arachnida; Araneae; Araneidae
Description: tRNA-Gly
Rfam family: tRNA
About the family: Transfer RNA (tRNA) molecules are approximately 80 nucleotides in length. Their secondary structure includes four short double-helical elements and three loops (D, anti-codon, and T loops). Further hydrogen bonds mediate the characteristic L-shaped molecular structure. tRNAs have two regions of fundamental functional importance: the anti-codon, which is responsible for specific mRNA codon recognition, and the 3' end, to which the tRNAs corresponding amino acid is attached (by aminoacyl-tRNA synthetases). tRNAs cope with the degeneracy of the genetic code in two manners: having more than one tRNA (with a specific anti-codon) for a particular amino acid; and 'wobble' base-pairing, i.e. permitting non-standard base-pairing at the 3rd anti-codon position.
Source: RNAcentral
GCGUCGGUGGUAUAACGGUUAGCAUAGCUGCCUUCCAAGCAGUUGACUCGGGUUCGACUCCCGGCCGACGCA